This 497-nucleotide ribosomal RNA is filed under the name uncultured bacterium. RNAcentral describes it as "partial 16S ribosomal RNA". It matches the Rfam family "Bacterial small subunit ribosomal RNA", at positions 28 to 507 of the family's 1533-position model. The record is from RNAcentral.
GAUGAACGCUGGCGGCGUGCCUAAUACAUGCAAGUCGAGCGAACAGACGAGGAGCUUGCUCCUCUGACGUUAGCGGCGGGCGGGUGAGUAACACGUGGAUAACCUACCUAUAAGACUGGGAUAACUUCGGGAAACCGGAGCUAAUACCGGAUAAUAUAUUGAACCGCAUGGUUCAAUAGUGAAAGACGGUUUUGCUGUCACUUAUAGAUGGAUCCGCGCCGCAUUAGCUAGUUGGUAAGGUAACGGCUUACCAAGGCAACGAUGCGUAGCCGACCUGAGAGGGUGAUCGGCCACACUGGAACUGAGACACGGUCCAGACUCCUACGGGAGGCAGCAGUAGGGAAUCUUCCGCAACGGGCGAAAGCCUGACGGAGCAACGCCGCGUGAGUGAUGAAGGUCUUCGGAUCGUAAAACUCUGUUAUUAGGGAAGAACAAAUGUGUAAGUAAUUAUGCACGUCUUGACGGUACCUAAUCAGAAAGCCACGGCUAACUACGUG